CCUACGGGAGGCAGCAGUGAGGAAUAUUGGUCAAUGGACGAGAGUCUGAACCAGCCAAGCAGCGUGAAGGAUGACUGCCCUAUGGGUUGUAAACUUCUUUUUUAAAGGAAUAAAACGAGGCACGUGUGCCUUUUUGCAUGUACUUUAUGAAUACGGAUCGGGUAACUCCGUGCCAGCAGCCGCGGUAAUACGGAGGUUCCGAGCGUUAUCCGGAUUUAUUGGGUUUAAAGGGAGCGUAGAUGGGUUGUUAAGUCAGUUGUGAAAGUGUGCGGCUCAACCGGAAAAUUGCAAUUGAUACUGGCAGUCUUGAGUGCAGUUGAGGUAGGCGGAAUGCGUGGUGUAGCGGUGAAAUGCUUAGAUAUCACGAAGAACCCCGAUUGCGAAGGCAGCUUACUAAACUGUGACUGACAUUGAUGCACGAAAGUGUGGGUAUCAAACAGGAUUAGAUACCCGGGUAGUC
This 460-nucleotide ribosomal RNA is filed under the name uncultured bacterium. Its description in RNAcentral is "partial 16S ribosomal RNA". It matches the Rfam family "Bacterial small subunit ribosomal RNA", at positions 338 to 795 of the family's 1533-position model. The record is from RNAcentral.